GACGAACGCUGGCGGCGUGCUUAACACAUGCAAGUCGAACGGAAAGGCCCUGCUUUUGUGGGGUGCUCGAGUGGCGAACGGGUGAGUAACACGUGAGUAACCUGCCCUUGACUUUGGGAUAACUUCAGGAAACUGGGGCUAAUACCGGCUAGGAGCUCCUGCUGCAUGGUGGGGGUUGGAAAGUUUCGGCGGUUGGGGAUGGACUCGCGGCUUAUCAGCUUGUUGGUGGGGUAGUGGCUUACCAAGGCUUUGACGGGUAGCCGGCCUGAGAGGGUGACCGGCCACAUUGGGACUGAGAUACGGCCCAGACUCCUACGGUAGGCAGCAGUGGGGAAUAUUGCACAAUGGGCGGAAGCCUGAUGCAGCAACGCCGCGUGCGGGAUGACGGCCUUCGUGUUGUAAACCGCUUUCGCCUGUGACGAAGCGUGAGUGACGGUAAUGGGUAAAGAAGCACCGGCUAACUACGUG
RNAcentral lists this ribosomal RNA (468 nucleotides) under uncultured bacterium. RNAcentral describes it as "partial 16S ribosomal RNA". It matches the Rfam family "Bacterial small subunit ribosomal RNA", at positions 28 to 507 of the family's 1533-position model. The record is from RNAcentral.